RNAcentral lists this ribosomal RNA (429 nucleotides) under Bacteroidota bacterium. RNAcentral's name for it is "Bacteroidetes bacterium partial 16S ribosomal RNA". It matches the Rfam family "Bacterial small subunit ribosomal RNA", at positions 355 to 776 of the family's 1533-position model. Lineage: Bacteria; Pseudomonadati; Bacteroidota. The record is from RNAcentral.
UAGGGAAUCUUCGGCAAUGGGGGGAACCCUGACCGAGCAACGCCGCGUGAGUGAAGAAGGUUUUCGGAUCGUAAAGCUCUGUUGUUAAGGAAGAACGAGUGUGAGAAUGGAAAGUUCAUGCUGUGACGGUACUUAACCAGAAAGGGACGGCUAACUACGUGCCAGCAGCCGCGGUAAUACGUAGGUCCCGAGCGUUGUCCGGAUUUAUUGGGCGUAAAGCGAGCGCAGGCGGUUAGAAAAGUCUGAAGUGAAAGGCAGUGGCUCAACCAUUGUAGGCUUUGGAAACUGUUUAACUUGAGUGCAGAAGGGGGGAGUGGAAUUCCAUGUGUAGGGGUGAAAUGCGUAGAUAUAUGGAGGAACACAGGUGGCGAAAGCGGGUCUCUAGUCUGUAUCUGACGAUGAGGCUAGAAAGCGUGGGGAGCGAACAGG